UCGAAAUCGAACUGAAAACGUCCCAAGCCCAGAUCUGCGCCCACCACUCUCUCAUCGACAUUCCAGAUCUUUGGUAGAUGGAACAGUAGCAUCUUCAUCUCCUGCUUGAAAGGAUUCAUGCAUCUCCCAAUCAACGUUUUUGAGUAUUCAGCAAUGAGAACUGAAUUAUCAAACUUUGGGAUCGAGAUCCUCAGUCCCAUACUUGGGGCCUGCACCUUUUUACCACCAGACUUAACCAUCCAUUGCCCC
This 249-nucleotide long non-coding RNA is filed under the name Brassica napus (rape). RNAcentral describes it as "long non-coding RNA (BNAP_LNC006269)". Lineage: Eukaryota; Viridiplantae; Streptophyta; Magnoliopsida; Brassicales; Brassicaceae. The record is from RNAcentral.